UUUCCGUAGGUGAACCUGCGGAAGGAUCAUUAAGGAGCUCAUGCGCUCCCGGGUAGACCUCCCACCCUUUGUUUACAAUACCUUUGUUGCUUUGGCGGGCCCGUUUGGCCCCGCUCUGACCAACUGGCCCCGGCUGGUCAGCGCCCUCCAGAGAAACGAAAACUCUGAAUUAAAUGUCGUCUGAUUACUAUGAAAUAGUUAAAACUUUCAACAACGGAUCUCUUGGUUCUG
Molecule: unclassified non-coding RNA, 231 nt
Filed under: plant metagenome
Description: partial contains small subunit ribosomal RNA, internal transcribed spacer 1, and 5.8S ribosomal RNA
Source: RNAcentral